This 527-nucleotide long non-coding RNA is filed under the name Diabrotica virgifera virgifera (western corn rootworm). Its description in RNAcentral is "uncharacterized LOC126884482". The record is from RNAcentral. Lineage: Eukaryota; Metazoa; Arthropoda; Insecta; Coleoptera; Chrysomelidae.
UAUCGUGGCUGCAUUUAGUGCCUAUUCCAUCCGUAUUGACAGUUCAUUGGUUGUAUACAAGGAGUUGUAUAUUGAAAUUGAAUUGAUUCUUGUUUCAUUGAAUAUAGAGGAGUUGUUCUGUUGCAAGUUGUUCUAGUUUUGUUGUUUUAAAAUCUGCGAAAAACUAUUUAUAGAUAAUGGUGAACUUAAACAAGAAAUGGACAUGCAGUUUGCUGAUUACUUAAUUGUGUACUCACAACACAUAGGAUUUCUCUGACACAGUUUCCAGUACAGAACUGCCACAGGAAUCUCCAGUGGAGUUGCAACCGCUCUCACGGACGUCCACAAAUCAAGUUACAAAACUGUUACAUGACUCUAUUGGAGUUGCAACCGCAAUUGGAUAAAAGUGAAAUUCGAAUAAUGCCAGAAAGACUAUAACCGUCCAAAGUGAUAGUGUGAAAUUAAAAUCAAAUGAUUACGUAUAAAUCAUAUUUAUAAUAAUUAUAAAUAGUAGCUGUAUUUUUUAAAUAAACAGAUUUGAUAAGUUA